Molecule: long non-coding RNA, 2912 nt
Organism: Peromyscus eremicus (cactus mouse)
Lineage: Eukaryota; Metazoa; Chordata; Mammalia; Rodentia; Cricetidae
Exons: 3
Source: RefSeq, a predicted model, not a curated record
CCCCGGCCGGGGCGCGCGACCGCGGCGCGUGGAGCCCGGAUCCCUCCGCCUGCGGGACGGAGCAGAGGCCGCGGAGACCUCAGCACCCCGGCCCCAGAGUUGGCAGAGGAAACAUCCAGGAGCCUCCUCGUCUUCAAGAAGAAAUAGUCACUCUCUUAUGAAAAACAAACAACAACAACAACAAAACCCUUUUAAAAUCCCUGGCGGCUUCUGGGCGUGGCGAAUUUUUAAGUGCUUCACAACAAGAUUGUGCGCACCAUUGCUUCUGAACACUGACCCGUCAGACUUCCUGUCCAGCAUCCUGUCACUUCCAAGUCCUCUGCUGGCUCUACCUGGAGCUUGAGGAAAUGAGUCUGGCUUGGACUUCAAAGCCUUGUAGAACAGAGGUUCUUCACAAGCUAAGGGGCAGGUUUACUAGACAAAGUCCUUGUUCUGGGUUUUGGUAGGAAAGACUAGGAAAGGCAACACGUGGUGGGUUAGAAACAUCAAUCUUGGAGUCAGACUGUCUUGGUUCAAAUCCGUCUACUGUUUAUGAGGAGCAGAGCACAUUUCUUAACUCUCCAUCCUCUCGGGUAAAAUGAAGGUGGUAAGGACAGUAUCUAACUUGUGAAUCUGGUGUGAGUUUAGUUCCCCGUAGACUAGGACAGUGCCUCGUGUUCCUCUGUAAUGACCCUCGGGCUGCUCAACUGGAAAUGAGAGCCCUUGAGGCCAGGAUGGGUCCAGACAAGGCUGGCUCAUGGGAGAAGUUCAAUAGGACGGCUCUGCAAAGAGCUUGGAGACGUACAUGUACCUCCUUAAACAGGAAGCUAGCAGGCUCCUAUUCCCUUGGCCUCCCUUUCCAACCCUUCUACUUGGCCCCUCCUUCCAGAAGCCCGAUUUAUACAGUAUCACACAUGGUCCCCAAAUGUUGCUCUUUAGUUUCCCUAGUAGUAUGGGGGGGUGGGGCUCCCAGCGCAGAGAUGCCAGUACUCUUGAGCAGGCUGGUUUGCCCCCAGUACUUCAGGGAGGGCAUCUGUUCUUCCCCAAGCACUUGGAGAAGGCAGCCUUGUUCGGCUCGAAGCAGUGGUGGGAGCAGGGUGGGAAAGUGCCCUCCCAGUGGGGAACCUCCCCUCACUGUGGCCUCUAUUUUUAGUGCUUCCCCAGGCUCGAGCUGGAGAAAGCGUUUAGUCAUCAGGGUGUUUAUUUUCCGGCUGUUUCCGACGUCGGGAAAAGCAGAAUGUUGAGACUGGAGAGAUCCAGGGCUGCUGUAAAAGACUUCUUAGGAACAGGCCUGGGAACACAGCCUUCAGACCGUUGGGUCCCAGCUCAUAGGAAAACAAAACAGGAUGGGCCCGGGACAGCUAAGCCCUCAGGAGUUUUCAACCUGCCUCAACCUUGGAGGCUAUCCAAGCUAGAGAACCCUCUGGCCCAACUCUAUUUGAAGAUUGUUCCUCAAAACAUCACCAAGCCCAGGAGAAAUUCUUUCCCAGAAUCCCCCUCCCCAACCUCUCCUAGAUCGGCCGGGUGAGCCUCCCGCCAACCACAACCCCAGCCAAUCUCCAAUCUGAGGCGGGCCUUCCAGAGCUAUGAUUGGUUGGCUGGGCAUUCUAGACCUGGAAUGUUGAGUCCUUAACAAAGGAAUGAGGAAGGAAGGUGAGUCACCUGGGGGAAGGUAUUAAAGGACUAGCUAGAAGGGAAAGAAGAGGGAAGAGCUCCGGGGAGGUGGGGCCCUGGACGCUAACAUGGUGACUUGACAGCUCACACGAGACCAGAGUAGGGGGCAGUAACACUCCAAGUGGGGCAAAAUUCAGAGUCUGAAAACGUCUUGGAAGAGAAGAGAAAAGGUAACAAUCGUGAGGUCUUGAUUUCCACAGAGGACCGAAAAGGGCCAAGUUCCUGAGUUCCUGCGGGGAUGCAGAGCUUUGCAGAGCUGGCGUGGAACGCGCUCAGCAAAUGUAUGUGCGCAGCUGUGUGAGUUAGGAUUGUGCAAACUCUACUCAACACCUCAUUUCUGCAUCGACAAUCGUGGUAGCCUACGACUCCACUUCAGGGUAGAGUUGAGAUGAGGGAUGGAUAGCCGAGUCCGCCGGAGUCAAGUUCGUGUGACACAGUAGUGCCCUACGCCGAGAGUCAAGGUGUCUGGGACCAGACGUGGGGAUAAGAGCGGAGGCCCCUGGAGCUGAGAGAGAGAGGUGCCAGAGCGGGUCCCGGGUCCGUGUACCCCCACAGGAGCUCCCUGCCCCCGGCUGGGCAGGAUGUGGUGGCAGCUGCAGUUGGGUGGGCAGGAUGUGGGGGUGGGGGCAGACGAACACAGCCCGACAGUAGUCUCCCCCCCAGCUCCUGCCUCCACCCCCUCCGGGUCACGUGCUCUCAGCUUGGGCACCGACGGACUAUUUCCCAUUUUCCGCGGAAGGACAUCUCAAACCCGCCGUCACGGGCCUUAGUUGUACCUCGCCAUUUUCUUGCCCCCAUCUCCAGCCUAGGACAGAAAGUUUGCCCAGGACACGUUUCUGUAAAGCGCGGAUUAACUCGGCAGAGGCCCCUUUAAAUGCAAAUGAUCGCCUCCUUGCUCCGCUCCCCCCCCAACCCCCAUCCCAACUUCUCUCCUCGUGCCCAAACUCCACCAGCUGCUAUUGACGUCAAUCGUGCGUCAGCAUCGCCAGCCCAACCAGACAGCACGUGGGGGGAAGAAGGCAAUCUUAAAGGGCCAGGCGCUCAGGGCCUGUUAGGUUACCGGAGAAAGGAAAAGCGAAGUGCAAUGUUGGGAAACUGUUGGAGCAGGAAGAAAUGCAGGGGAGACUUUGAGAAGGACUGCAUAAGGCCGGCGAAGUGGCUCAGCGGAUGAAGGUGCUUCUGUGCAAGCCCGAGAUUCAUUUCCCCAAUUAGCCUCUGACCUUCACGUACGUCAUUUUCUCCCCGCCCCCUCGCACACG